RNAcentral lists this long non-coding RNA (569 nucleotides) under Rattus norvegicus (Norway rat). RNAcentral describes it as "long non-coding RNA NONRATT025756". The record is from RNAcentral. Lineage: Eukaryota; Metazoa; Chordata; Mammalia; Rodentia; Muridae.
AAGAAGAAGAAGAAGAGGAAGAGGAAGAGGAAGAGGAAGAGGAAGAGGAAGAGGAGGAGGAGGAGGAGGUGUAGGAGGAGGUGUAGGAGGAGAUUUGGAGGAGGAGAAGAAGGAGAAGAAGAAGAAGAAGAAGAAGAAGAGGAAGAGGAAGAGGAAGAAGAAGAGGAAGAAGAAGAAGACAUCCUUACAGAUGUCUUUUAGAAAAGACGAGAUAAUAUUGGAUUGCAGGGGUUCUGCUCAGACACAUAGCCACUUUCUGAAAAGAAGAAAAGAGAAGAAAAGAGAGAGGGUAUCAAGUUAUGUCUUCCUGUGGGAAGUGCCCUUGUCCCACUUUCAGUGGCUUCUGCUGGGCUCUUGUCCCAGGAUGUCCCUCCAUUUCUCUGUCUCUUCUUGUCCAUCGUUGAAUAUUCAGGACCAGAUUCAUCCAAAGGGACCUUUGGAGAGAGGCAGCUUUCACAUCUGUGAGACUGUACUGCUGGGAUUGCUCUGGAACCUGUUGAAGGAUGAGGCGAAACAGCCAGACAGAGCCACGAGGAACUGAGCGUCGAAGAGCAAAGAGAUGUUUCUGG